CGGGAAACUGGGGAUAAUAUUCGAUAGCUAAAAGAUACUGGAAUGUUCUUUUAUCCAAAGCUUUUGCGCCUGAGGAUGGGCCUGCGCCCGAUUAGGUUGUUGGUGGGGUAAUGGCCCACCAAGCCUACGAUCGGUACGGGCAGUGGGAGCUGAAGCCCGGAGUUGGGGACUGAGACAAGGCCCCAGGCCCUACGGGGCGCAGCAGGCGCGAAACCUCUGCAAUGCGGGAAACCGUGACAGGGGGAUUCCAAGUGCUAAUGCAUGGAAUGGGCUGUUCUUUGGUCUAAGUAACCAGAGGAGUAAGGGCUGGGCAAGACCGGUGACAGCCGCCGCGGUAACA
RNAcentral lists this ribosomal RNA (340 nucleotides) under uncultured archaeon. RNAcentral describes it as "partial 16S ribosomal RNA". It matches the Rfam family "Archaeal small subunit ribosomal RNA", at positions 133 to 475 of the family's 1478-position model. The record is from RNAcentral.